AACGAACGCUGGCGGCAUGCCUAACACAUGCAAGUCGAACGAGACCUUCGGGUCUAGUGGCGCACGGGUGCGUAACGCGUGGGAACCUGCCCUUAGGUUCGGAAUAACUCCCCGAAAGGGGUGCUAAUACCGGAUAAUGUCUUCGGACCAAAGAUUUAUCGCCUUUGGAUGGGCCCGCGUUGGAUUAGCUAGUUGGUAGGGUAAAAGCCUACCAAGGCGACGAUCCAGAGCUGGUCUGAGAGGAUGAUCAGCCACACUGGGACUGAGACACGGCCCAGACUCCUACGGGAGGCAGCAGUGGGGAAUAUUGGACAAUGGGCGAAAGCCUGAUCCAGCAAGGCCGCGUGAGUGAUGAAGGCCUUAGGGUUGUAAAGCUCUUUUACCCGGGAUGAUAAGGACAGUACCGGGAGAAUAAGCUCCGGCUAACUCCGU
RNAcentral lists this ribosomal RNA (432 nucleotides) under uncultured bacterium. RNAcentral describes it as "partial 16S ribosomal RNA". It matches the Rfam family "Bacterial small subunit ribosomal RNA", at positions 29 to 506 of the family's 1533-position model. The record is from RNAcentral.